GGUUUGUCGCGUUGUUCGUGAAAUCUCACGGCUUAACUGUGAGCGUGCGGGCGAUACGGGCAGACUUGAGUACUGCAGGGGAGACUGGAAUUCCUGGUGUAGCGGUGGAAUGCGCAGAUAUCAGGAGGAACACCGGUGGCGAAGGCGGGUCUCUGGGCAGUAACUGACGCUGAGGAGCGAAAGCGUGGGGAGCGAACAGGAUUAGAUACCCUGGUAGUCCACGCCGUAAACGGUGGGUACUAGGUGUGGGUUUCCUUCCUUGGGAUCCGUGCCGUAGCUAACGCAUUAAGUACCCCGCCUGGGGAGUACGGCCGCAAGGCUAAAACUCAAAGAAAUUGACGGGGGCCCGCACAAGCGGCGGAGCAUGUGGAUUAAUUCGAUGCAACGCGAAGAACCUUACCUGGGUUUGACAUGCACAGGACGCCGGCAGAGAUGUCGGUUCCCUUGUGGCCUGUGUGCAGGUGGUGCAUGGCUGUCGUCAGCUCGUGUCGUGAGAUGUUGGGUUAAGUCCCGCAACGAGCGCAACCCUUGUCUCAUGUUGCCAGCGGGUAAUGCCGGGGACUCGUGAGAGACUGCCGGGGUCAACUCGGAGGAAGGUGGGGAUGACGUCAAGUCAUCAUGCCCCUUAUGUCCAGGGCUUCACACAUGCUACAAUGGCCGGUACAAAGGGCUGCGAUGCCGCGGGGUUAAGCGAAUCCUUUUAAAGCCGGUCUCAGUUCGGAUCGGGGUCUGCAACUCGACCCCGUGAAGUCGGAGUC
This 758-nucleotide ribosomal RNA is filed under the name uncultured bacterium. Its description in RNAcentral is "bacterial SSU rRNA". It matches the Rfam family "Bacterial small subunit ribosomal RNA", at positions 577 to 1333 of the family's 1533-position model. The record is from RNAcentral.